GGAGAGAUGUCCGAGUCUGGCUUAAGGAGCACGAUUGGAAAUCGUGUAUACGCCAAAAGCGUAUCUGGGGUUCGAAUCCCCAUCUCUCCGCCA
This 93-nucleotide transfer RNA is filed under the name Eggerthella sp. CAG:209. Its description in RNAcentral is "transfer RNA-Ser(GGA)". It matches the Rfam family "tRNA". Rfam says of the family: Transfer RNA (tRNA) molecules are approximately 80 nucleotides in length. Their secondary structure includes four short double-helical elements and three loops (D, anti-codon, and T loops). Lineage: Bacteria; Bacillati; Actinomycetota; Coriobacteriia; Eggerthellales; Eggerthellaceae. RNAcentral also lists the same sequence under 6 other names. The record is from RNAcentral.